UCUGGGUGUGGUGGUGCAUGCCUGUAAUCCCAGUGGAUUGGGAGGCUGAGUCAGGAGGAUCUCGGGUUCAAAACCAGCCUUAGCAAAAGUGAGGUGCUGAGCAACUCCGUGAGACCCUGUCUCUA
RNAcentral lists this small RNA (125 nucleotides) under Marmota monax (woodchuck). The record is from RNAcentral. Lineage: Eukaryota; Metazoa; Chordata; Mammalia; Rodentia; Sciuridae.